This 300-nucleotide long non-coding RNA is filed under the name Equus caballus (horse). Its description in RNAcentral is "lncRNA (ENSECAG00000058883.1)". Lineage: Eukaryota; Metazoa; Chordata; Mammalia; Perissodactyla; Equidae. The record is from RNAcentral.
CAGUGAGUGAAGGGACAAGAGUUGGAGGGCGUCUAUCCAGAUCAUCUCUCUUCACAGGAGGGGUCAUUUGGCUCAUUGUCCAGUAAAGGGCAACCUACUCCAGGCUGAAAAGAACAUCUUUCCUCUUCCCUCCAGGAAGUAGAGCCAGUUAACCAACAUGGCAGAAAGUAAGUGUGAAAGCCUUUGCGAACCAGCGUGUUGACAGCAAUAGACUUGGAUGCAAAAUCUUGUUUCUGAAACCUUCCUGUCUCCUGCUUUUGACCUGAACUCCUCGGUGACUGUAAGAACUCUCUAGAAGCC